CGGGGAGGCAGGCGAGCGGUGUCUGCAGAGCCCCUGCUGCGAUGGGCCCUGUGCCAGCACCCGCUCAAGCCGUGCGGUAGCAGCUGUGGCUGGCGGCUCCGGGGUACUCCCGUGUGCCUCUGUGGGGUGGUUUUGGCUGAAGAGGACUGUGGCAGAGAGUGGUUACCUAGAGGUGUCCGGGUCUUGACCUUAAAGCUUUCUGUGUUUAACAGGUCUUGCAAAUCUCUUGGUUUCUUUAGUGCCCUAUGCAGUAGGGAGAAGAAAGGUAUUUCAAAAGGUGGUGUGUUGGACAACGGCUUCCUACAGAAUACUGGGACUGCAGUUGUUAGUGCUGUUUUAUGCUGCGGAAUAAUAUUGGUUAUAACUAUAAUAGGAUCCCUCGCUGGGCAACCCGAAGGUCUGGACUCUGCGCUGACCACGAGGAAGGUCUUGCGUACAACAGAGUGCACUGAUACUUCGAUGGGAGUUUCAACUAAAAAUAUUUCAGUGAGAACAAAGAGUGWGAUGGGGACAGACAGCUCACCAGAAAAGCAAAUUCAGUUAUCAAGAGACUGACUUCAGUGAAGAGUCCUGCUGUCAACUUACUGUGACCCAGCAAAAUUUGGAUUGACAAAAGCAUUGAGAAGCAAACAUGGCUUGAGAGCAGGGUUAUUAAAACGCAC
This 662-nucleotide long non-coding RNA is filed under the name Apteryx owenii (little spotted kiwi). RNAcentral describes it as "lncRNA (ENSAOWG00000013401.1)". Lineage: Eukaryota; Metazoa; Chordata; Aves; Apterygiformes; Apterygidae. The record is from RNAcentral.